CCUACGGGCGGCAGCAGUGGGGAAUAUUGGGCAAUGGGCGCAAGCCUGACGCAGCAACGCCGCGUGAAGGAAGAAGGCUUUCGGGUUGUAAACUUCUUUCAAGAGGGAAGAGCAGAAGACGGUAUCUCUUGAAUAAGCCACGGCUAACUACGUGCCAGCAGCCGCGGUAAUACGUAGGUGGCAAGCGUUGUCCGGAUUUACUGGGGGUAAAGGGCGUGUAGCCGGGCUGCCAAGGCAGAUGUGAAAUCCCGUGGCUCAACCACGGAACUGCAGUUGAAACUGUCGGUCGUGAGUGUCGGAGAGGCAGGCGGAAGUGCUAGGGGAGGGGUGAAAGGCGGAGGUAUUAGGAGGAAGACCAGGGGGGGAGGCGGACUGCUGGACGACAACUGACGGUGGGGCGGGAAAGGGGGGGGAGGAAACAGGAUUAGAUACCCCUGUAGUC
This 442-nucleotide ribosomal RNA is filed under the name uncultured bacterium. RNAcentral's name for it is "partial 16S ribosomal RNA". It matches the Rfam family "Bacterial small subunit ribosomal RNA", at positions 338 to 795 of the family's 1533-position model. The record is from RNAcentral.